Molecule: small nucleolar RNA, 106 nt
Organism: Lactuca sativa (garden lettuce)
Lineage: Eukaryota; Viridiplantae; Streptophyta; Magnoliopsida; Asterales; Asteraceae
Product: small nucleolar RNA Z279/snoR105/snoR108
Source: RefSeq, a predicted model, not a curated record
GGGAGGUGAUGAGUGGUCAUUACUCGCAUUUAAGUAUGCGAGAUGGGGUGUCUGCCUAAAGCUUUACGACAAUUAGGCACCUCAAAUCUUAUAACCAUGUGAUCCC